AGUAGGUAAUAUGAUAUCCGUCAAAGAUUUUGUAUGUAUUUCUUAUAACAAUGGGAACGGAUCUCCUCUACUGUUUAAACAAUUCUAACCUAAUUUGCUUUCAGUACCGUAUUAGCAGUACAAAGAGUUUUAAUUGCAAGGAUCAAGAAACGGACCUCUUUUUAACCAUAUGCAUGUGUAUAUUUUAGUAUUUUGAUCUCAAAUGCAUAUGAUUGAAGUGGUAUUUAUGCGCGUUAAGACAAAAAUCUCAAACGAAAUAAAUUGGGAAGGGAAACAAAAUUUCACAUACACCUGCCUGCAUUUACUUUUACCCAAUGUUUCAGUACUUCCGCGCUAGCCACCGCGUCCUAUCAAGACCUUAUUGCAAUCACUGCUGCUGUUGCCACUAUUGAUGAUAUUGCUGCUGCAAGCUCCUUUCGUAUCCACUGUUUGUAAUUGCAGGUAACCAAUAUUACUAACUUUAUAUAGCAGUAAUACUUCCG
Molecule: long non-coding RNA, 482 nt
Organism: Zeugodacus cucurbitae (melon fly)
Lineage: Eukaryota; Metazoa; Arthropoda; Insecta; Diptera; Tephritidae
Exons: 2
Source: RefSeq, a predicted model, not a curated record